Molecule: ribosomal RNA, 449 nt
Filed under: uncultured bacterium
Lineage: Bacteria
Description: partial 16S ribosomal RNA
Rfam family: Bacterial small subunit ribosomal RNA
Source: RNAcentral
AACGAACGCUGGCGGCAUGCCUAACACAUGCAAGUCGAACGAGAUCUUCGGGUCUAGUGGCGCACGGGUGCGUAACGCGUGGGAAUCUGCCCCUUGGUUCGGAAUAACAGUUGGAAACGACUGCUAAUACCGGAUGAUGACGAAAGUCCAAAGAUCUAUCGCCAGAGGAUGAGCCCGCGUAGGAUUAGCUAGUUGGUGUGGUAAAGGCGCACCAAGGCGACGAUCCUUAGCUGGUCUGAGAGGAUGAUCAGCCACACUGGGACUGAGACACGGCCCAGACUCCUACGGGGGGCAGCAGUGGGGAAUAUUGGACAAUGGGCGAAAGCCUGAUCCAGCAAUGCCGCGUGAGUGAUGAAGGCCUUAGGGUUGUAAAGCUCUUUUACCCGGGAUGAUAAUGACAGUACCGGGAGAAUAAGCUCCGGCUAACUCCGUGCCAGCCGCCGCCGUAA